GAAAGCCGGUUAAUACCGAUACGACCUCGGGUGAAACAGGGGAUCCAAGACCUUCGCUAUUGGGCGGCCGAUUCAGAUUAGUUGUUGGUGGGUAAAAGCUACCAAGGCACGAUCUGUGCUGGUCUGGAGGACGACAGCCACACUGGACUGAGAACGGCCCAGCUCCUACGGAGGCAGCAGGGGGAAUUUGGACAAUGGCGCAAGCCUAUCCAGCCAGCCGCGUGCGGAAGAAGGCUUCGGGUUUAAACCGCUUUGUCAGGGAGAAACGGUCGCAUUAAUCCGUGGGCUAUGACGGUACUGAAGAAUAGCACCGGCAACUACGUGCAGCAGCCGGGUAAUACGAGGGUGCAACGUUAAUCGAAUUACUGGCGUAAAGCGGCGCAGGCGUUAUGCAAGCAGAUGUGAAUCCCCGGGUCAACCUGGAACUGCAUUGUGACUGCAGACUGGAGU
This 450-nucleotide ribosomal RNA is filed under the name uncultured bacterium. Its description in RNAcentral is "bacterial SSU rRNA". The record is from RNAcentral.